UUCCGGUUGAUCCCGCCGGAGGCUACCGCUAUUGGAGUUCGAUUAAGCCAUGCGAGUCGAGAGCUUUCGGAGCUCGGCAUACCGCUCAGUAACACGUGGGUAACCUGCCCUAUGCUGGGGAAUAACCUCGGGAAACUGAGAAUAAUGCCCCAUAGUUCACCACGCCUGGAACGGUGGGUGGAUGAAAGCUCCGGCGGCAUAGGAUGGGCCUGCGGCGUAUCAGGUUGUAGGGGGUGUAAUGUACCCUCUAGCCAUCUACGCGUACGGGUGUUGAGAGACAUCGCCCGGAGAUGGAUUCUGAGACACGAAUCCAGACCCUACGGGGUGCAGCAGGCGCGAAAACUUGGCAAUGCGAGCAAUCGUGACCAGGGAACUCCAAGUGCAUCGGGUAAGACCGAUGCUUUUCUUGACUCUUCAAAGGUCUUGGAAUAAGGGGUUGGUAAGGACGGUGCCAGCCGCCGCGGUAAUACCGGCGCCUCAAGUGGUAGUCGCUUUUAUUGGGCCUAAAACGUCCGUAGCCGGUUUGGUACAUUCGUGGGUAAAUCAAGGCGCUCAACGUCUUGAAUUCUGCGAGCACGGCCAGACUUGGGACCGGGUGAGGUGUGGGGUACUCUCAGGGUAGGGGUAAAAUCCUGUCAUCCUGAGAGGACCACCUGUUGCGAAAGGCGCCACACUAGAACGGAUCCGACGGUCAGGACGAAGCCUAGGGGCACGAACCGGAUUAGAUACCCGGGUAGUCCUAGUGUAAACGCUG
This 754-nucleotide ribosomal RNA is filed under the name uncultured euryarchaeote. RNAcentral describes it as "bacterial SSU rRNA". It matches the Rfam family "Archaeal small subunit ribosomal RNA", at positions 1 to 762 of the family's 1478-position model. The record is from RNAcentral. Lineage: Archaea; Methanobacteriati; Methanobacteriota.